GUCUUUGGCCAUAUCACACUGAACAUGCCCAAUCUUGUCUGAUCUUGGAAGCUAAGCAGGGUCAGGCCUGGUUAGUAUUUGGAUGGAGGGAAACCAAAAAGUUGGUUGACAACUAGC
Molecule: ribosomal RNA, 117 nt
Filed under: Heterocephalus glaber (naked mole-rat)
Lineage: Eukaryota; Metazoa; Chordata; Mammalia; Rodentia; Bathyergidae
Source: RNAcentral